RNAcentral lists this ribosomal RNA (1506 nucleotides) under uncultured fungus. RNAcentral's name for it is "eukaryotic LSU rRNA". The stretch from base 862 to 1506 matches the Rfam family "Eukaryotic large subunit ribosomal RNA", at positions 1 to 667 of the family's 3401-position model. The record is from RNAcentral. Lineage: Eukaryota; Fungi.
AAGUCGUAACAAGGUUUCCCUCCGCAGCUGAGCCUCGGAGACCUUGCACCCCUCUGGGGGGGGGCANNNNNNCUAUAAAUAAGGCUGGCCACUUGCAAGUUGACCGUGAGGUCAGCGACAUAAUCGAAUUGACGGGGACUUCCUAAAGCCUGCAGCACCACCUAGACGGGGAAACCCGUUUAGUACGGUAAGAGCCUGUAGGAUACACAAUGGAUAAUCCGCAGCCGAGCCCCUACUGCGAAAGCCACGGGGAAGGUUCACAGACUAGGUGAUUAUGGGUCCAGCCGCUUGUUGGAUCUAAGAUAUAGUCGGUCUCUGGGGGAAAUCCCAGGGGUUUCAGCGUCCGUAGGUGAACCUGCGGAAGGAUCAUUAAUGUAACCGGACCGGUCCUUUGCCGUAAAACGCACCGGAUUGGAAAGGGAGAUAUCAUACACCCUGUGUUUAUUUACCUUUGUUGCUUUGGCGGGCCGUCCCUUAGGCGUCGGCCCCGGCUGAUCGCGCCCGCCAGAGGACCCAAACUCUUUUAUCAGUGAUGUCUGAGUACUAUAUAAUAGUUAAAACUUUCAACAACGGAUCUCUUGGUUCUGGCAUCGAUGAAGAACGCAGCGAAAUGCGAUAAGUAAUGUGAAUUGCAGAAUUCAGUGAAUCAUCGAAUCUUUGAACGCACAUUGCGCCCGCUGGUAUUCCGGCGGGCAUGCCUGUUCGAGCGUCAUUAUGACCAAUCAAGCUCUGCUUGGCCUUGGGGCCCGCUGUACCGGCGGCCCUUAAAAUUAGUGGCGGUGCCGUCUGGCUCUAAGCGUAGUAAUACUUCUCGCUAUAGGGUCCAGUCGUUUACCCGCCAGANCCCCCAACUUCUUAGGUUGACNUCGGAUCAGGUANGGAUANCCGCUGAACUUAAGCAUAUCAAUAAGCGGAGGAAAAGAAACCAACAGGGAUUGCCUCAGUAACGGCGAGUGAAGCGGCAACAGCUCAAAUUUGAAAUCUGCCUCUAGGCCGAGUUGUAAUUUGUAGAAGAUGCUUCGGGUGUGGCACUGGUCUAAGUUCCUUGGAACAGGACGUCAUAGAGGGUGAGAAUCCCGUACGUGACUGGCUGCCUUCGCCUAUGUGAAGCUCUUUCGACGAGUCGAGUUGUUUGGGAAUGCAGCUCAAAAUGGGUGGUAUAUUUCAUCUAAAGCUAAAUAUUGGCCAGAGACCGAUAGCGCACAAGUAGAGUGAUCGAAAGAUGAAAAGCACUUUGGAAAGAGAGUUAAACAGUACGUGAAAUUGUUGAAAGGGAAGCGCUUGCAAUCAGACUUGCGCGCCGUCGAUCAUCCGAGGUUUUCCCCGGUGCACUCGGCGGUGCUCAGGCCAGCAUCGGUUUCGGUGGUUAGAUAAAGGCCUUGGGAAUGUAGCUCCCCCGGGAGUGUUAUAGCCCUCGGUGCAAUGUAGCCUAUCGGGACCGAGGACCGCGCUUCGGCUAGGAUGCUGGCGUAAUGGUUGUAAGCGACCCGUCUUGAAACACGGACC